This 848-nucleotide long non-coding RNA is filed under the name Homo sapiens (human). Its description in RNAcentral is "HSALNT0230940". The record is from RNAcentral. Lineage: Eukaryota; Metazoa; Chordata; Mammalia; Primates; Hominidae.
AUACAAUUCUCUCGGCAAAUUGAGCUUAAAUCUGAAGUCUUAGGAAAUAGAAUGAAUGCCAAAAAAUUAUUUUUCCCCCUGUGUGCUGUUAACAAGGGCAGUCUCUUCGUUUUCACAGUAUUUCCUUCUAUUUUCCUCCUGUUGUCUGUGGCUCCACUUUAGGUUAGUAGGGACUUUAGAGGGAAAUACCACUUCAGAUUAAAGUCUUGUCAGAUCUCAUUUAUUAACUGGCAUGGGGUCUGGUGUCCUGGAGCGAGAAGGUCUCCUGAGGAAGCAUUUGUUGUGAGCCUCUCUUGCAGGGACUGAGUUUGGAGCAGGACUUUCCAGGAGCCGUCCUGUGUUAGGAGGAGACGAAGUUCCACAAAACUAGGACCCAAGAGAGGAUUAAGUAUUUUGAUCCUAAAAAGAAAAGGGUUGAGGGAUGAGGUGGGGAGGGAGAUGUUCCAAAAUGUUUUACUUUGAGCUGGGCAUGGUGGCGGGUGUCUGUAAUCUCAGCUACUUGGGAGACUGAGGCAGGAGAAUCACUUAAACCCGGGAGGUGGAGGUUGCAGUGAGCCAACAUCACGCCACUGCACUCCAGCUGGGUGACAAGAGUGAAACUCCAUCUCAAAUAAAUAAAUAAAUUAAUUAAAAUGUUUUACUUUGAUAACCUGGCCUUUGCAUUCUUUGCAUUAUGUGAAAUAAGCUUUAAUCAAUGGUAAUAUAUGAAAUAACAUUGCUUCGGUCAUUCAAUAAAUAUUUAUAAGUUAAAAAAAUAUAUAUGUGUGUAUUUGUUUGUAAGCCCACAAUAUAGAAUGCCUGUACUCGGGGCUGGAGAAAAGUGGUGAAUGGAACUUAACACAUUGCUG